This is a long non-coding RNA of Leguminivora glycinivorella, 900 nucleotides long. RefSeq lists it as uncharacterized. Lineage: Eukaryota; Metazoa; Arthropoda; Insecta; Lepidoptera; Tortricidae. The transcript has 3 exons. The record is from RefSeq and is a predicted model, not a curated record.
CUUGUAUCGUAAUGUACUAUUACAUAAUUAUGGUAUGUAUUGUAAAACGUUGUACGAUACAUGUACGAAUAGAAUAAGUAUUAUAGGUAAUUCACUACUCCUGUCGAUUUAAAAAACUCUCUUCGUUCGUGUUUUAAUCACAACUCGUUUCAAAUUUCCCAUUUUUCGCACUUGUAUCGUAAUUUACUAUUGAUUACUUUACUAUUGAUUACUAUCUAUUAGUUAAAAUAAAAAUUCCAUCAAAUAUAUUGCUAAAAAACAACAGACUCGUAACCAAAUAACAAAGGUGAAUUUUACUGCACAUUAGGUAUCAUUUGACGGCAUUUCAAUUUUAGAUAGGUACUGAAUUAUUUUUAAUCAUUUAUGAAUUAUUUUUAAUCAUUUAUUUUAAGUACCUUUAUGCCUUUAAUUCGAGGUAGACUCAUUUAAAAAAAAAUGUUAACGUAUUUUAGACAUCUUCUAUACAUUAGCCUAGCGUUUUUCAAAAUCGGAGUUGGCAACACUGACGCCGAAGUGAUUUGUCAACGCGUCUUGUGUUAAUUUUUUUGCGGUUAUCUAUCACAUCACAGAUCGAACAACUUACAAGUUCAAUGGAGUAAGUGAUCGAAUCUUUAAAAACAUGGGAGUUGGAGAACUUAAUACGAAAAUUCACCACCCCGGAAUCGGACGCUAAUAAAACCAUGUUCCGAUGGUAAUAGGCGACGCCCAGCGUGCCCGGGUGUUGAAAUAAGUGCAAAACUGCUCUCCGCUCGCCUUUUGUCCACCAACGGGUUCACGCCGCGUCGCCUAAUCCUCGCGCCGGUCGCCAGCAUUCCCCGCUGUGUUCCGGUAACCUACAGGCGGCAAGCUGACGCUGCCGUCAUCCACACGACACCAUCUCUGAGGCGGCUGACGUGGUGG